GGAGGGGUGCCGGAGUGGUCGAACGGGGCAGUCUCGAAAACUGUUGUGCCUUCUGGGUACCGUGGGUUCGAAUCCCACCCCCUCCGCCA
Molecule: transfer RNA, 89 nt
Filed under: Parapontixanthobacter aurantiacus
Lineage: Bacteria; Pseudomonadati; Pseudomonadota; Alphaproteobacteria; Sphingomonadales; Erythrobacteraceae
Also listed under: 1 other name
Description: Altererythrobacter aurantiacus tRNA-Ser
Rfam family: tRNA
About the family: Transfer RNA (tRNA) molecules are approximately 80 nucleotides in length.
Source: RNAcentral